This 253-nucleotide ribosomal RNA is filed under the name uncultured bacterium. RNAcentral describes it as "partial 16S ribosomal RNA". It matches the Rfam family "Bacterial small subunit ribosomal RNA", at positions 524 to 776 of the family's 1533-position model. The record is from RNAcentral.
UACGUAGGGGGCAAGCGUUGUCCGGAUUUACUGGGCGUAAAGAGCGCGCAGGCGGUCGGAUAAGUCGAAUGUGAAAGCCCCCGGCUCAACUGGGGAGGGUCAUUCGAUACUGUUCGACUCGAAGGCAGGAGAGGGAAGUGGAAUUCCCGGUGUAGUGGUGAAAUGCGUAGAUAUCGGGAGGAACACCAGUGGCGAAGGCGACUUCCUGACCUGUUCGUGACGCUGAGGCGCGAAAGCUAGGGGAGCAAACGGG